AAAGCUCAAAUUUAAAAUCUGGCAGUUCCACUGUCCGAGUUGUAGUCUGGAGAAGUGUUUUCCGCGUUGGACCGUGUACAAGUCUCUUGGAAUAGAGCGUCAUAGAGGGUGAGAAUCCCGUCUCUGACACGGACUACCAGUGCUUUUGUGAUACACACUCAAAGAGUCGAGUUGUUUGGGAAUGCAGCUCAAAAUGGGUGGUAAAUUCCAUCUAAAGCUAAAUAUUGGCGAGAGACCGAUAGCGAA
RNAcentral lists this ribosomal RNA (246 nucleotides) under Polyporales sp. 1 CRJH-2017. Its description in RNAcentral is "partial 28S ribosomal RNA". It matches the Rfam family "Eukaryotic large subunit ribosomal RNA", at positions 104 to 344 of the family's 3401-position model. Lineage: Eukaryota; Fungi; Basidiomycota; Agaricomycetes; Polyporales. The record is from RNAcentral.